This 416-nucleotide ribosomal RNA is filed under the name uncultured bacterium. RNAcentral describes it as "bacterial LSU rRNA". It matches the Rfam family "Bacterial large subunit ribosomal RNA", at positions 1235 to 1661 of the family's 2925-position model. The record is from RNAcentral.
AGCGUUCUGUCAGCGGUGAAGGUCGAUCGUAAGGGCGACUGGAGCGGACAGAAGUGAGAAUGCAGGCAUGAGUAGCGUACAAACACGUGAGAACCGUGUUCGCCGUAAGUCUAAGGUUUCCGACGCCAGGUCAUUCCGCGUCGGGUUAGUCGAGUCCUUAGCCGAGGCCGAGAGGCGUAGGUGAUGGACAUCCGGUCAACAUUCCGGAACCGCUAGAGAGUGCGAUGGGAGGACGCAACGAGGUAGGCCAGCCCAUUAUUGGAUUUGGGUUCGAUCCAUCUAGGUGUUGAGACUGGUAGGUAAAUCCGCCAGUUGAGCUGAGGUGGGAGCGGGCCGUAAGGCGAAGUGGCUGAGCCUUGUUGCCAAGAAAAGUCUCUAAGCAUAACUUUCUAGUGCUCGUACCGCAAACCGACACU